CCAGACUAGCUCCAACAGGGCAGAGCGGACUCCUAACAGGCUCAGCUGUUACACCUGUGCCAUGGCUGCAACCCUGUGCUCCUCUCGCCCAGGCACGGCACAGGCUCACCACGCAGGGAACACGCCUCUCACCCAGGCACGGCGCAGGCUCACCACUCAGGGAACACGCCUCUCGCCCAGGCACGGCGCAGGCUCACCACACAGGGAACACGCCUCUCGCCCAGGCACGGCGCAGGCUCACCACGCAGGGAACACGCCUCUCGCCCAGGCACGGCGCAGGCUCACCACGCAGGGAACACGCCUCUCGCCCAGGCACGGCGCAGGCUCACCACGCAGGGAACACGCCUCUCGCCCAGGCAUGGCGCAGGCUCACCACGCAGGGAACACGCCUCUCGCCCACAGCGCAGCCUUGAUCUCGCAGGUUCAAGCAACCCUCCUGCCUCCCAAAGUGUUGGAAUUACAGCUGUAAGCCACUGUGCGCAACCAACCUUUCUUCCUUUUAAUGUAUGCAUUUGAAGUUACACAUUUCCUCUAAACCCUGCUUCAGAUGCACCCCACACAUCUGGUCACUUAACGAGCAUACGGUCUCUGGGUGUUUUCCUGUCACUGAUUCCCACUUUAAUCCACUGUGGAGAUGCCUUGAGACUUGCUGUACGACCCAACGUGGAGUCCACUUUAAUAAACGCCCACUUGAACAGAUGCCAUUUCUCCAAGUAUUCGCUGAAGUUUGCAAAACUCAGGUCAAGUUGGUUAAACCUUGUAAAAAAAAAAAAACUAUAUCCUGUUCUUGUCUACCUGUUCCACUGCCUGGGGAGAGAGGCGGCCAUCAGCGUGGGCCUGUCAACUUCACCCCUCAUUCUGCCCCUUUGUGCUGCCUGUACUGAAGCCAUGUCACUGCCCUCGCCCCUGCAACGUCACCCGUCACCUCCUGCCUUGCUCUAUC
Molecule: long non-coding RNA, 943 nt
Filed under: Pan troglodytes (chimpanzee)
Lineage: Eukaryota; Metazoa; Chordata; Mammalia; Primates; Hominidae
Description: long non-coding RNA NONPTRT012331
Source: RNAcentral